UUUUAUGGUUGAAGUGGAGCAAGAGAAGCUUAUGUUCUUCCUCAUCACCUUCAUUUUCGCAACAUUUUGACAGCCCUCACUAAACUGAUAAUAACUCUCUGCUCACAGCUCCGAUUGAGAUAAGCGCAUUUGAAGUUGAUCAAUGGAUGCUGAAAAUAGGUGUAAAGUGGAAUACGGGUUUGAUGAAUUUGGAGUUGAAGUUUUGGUCAAGUUAGGAGCUCAAUUGCAGCAUGUUCAUCAUCCAAAGCUCCAUUGAUGCAAGGUGCAGUUUAGUAGCUUUUGAUAGAUAGCCGGUUCGGAUUGAUGGCUUGAAGUGGUGUCGGCUCGAAGACCUCGUUGAUUUUGACAUUCCGCUGUGCAAGAUCCAUUGAAGACCCAUGUAUUGUGCUACUUAGUAGAAUUUCAUGUUGUAUUUUAUAUGGAUCAAAUAUUGUACCUUGACUUGUGUAUGUACUCAAUAUCAAUUUUAACGUUUCAUGCAUAAUAUACUAGUCAGUUAUGUAUGGGGUGUUACAAAACAAGUCAGCUGGGGGUUCUCUGAAGCAUUUGCGAUUAUCAUUGUCCAUCGUAAUGUCCGAAAUCGCUUCUUAAGAGCCCACAGUUUGGUUUAUCUUUCUCUGCAUCCCUCCCUUUGAUUCUUGCAUAAUUAACAUGAUUUGGUAGCAUACAUAUGUUCAUAAUGAGAUUUCGAAGCUCCUGGCAUAAAUCGA
Vicia villosa (hairy vetch) is the source of this 710-nucleotide long non-coding RNA. RefSeq lists it as uncharacterized. The record is from RefSeq and is a predicted model, not a curated record. The transcript has 3 exons. NCBI's taxonomy places the organism in Eukaryota, Viridiplantae, Streptophyta, Magnoliopsida, Fabales, Fabaceae.